This 500-nucleotide ribosomal RNA is filed under the name uncultured bacterium. RNAcentral's name for it is "partial 16S ribosomal RNA". It matches the Rfam family "Bacterial small subunit ribosomal RNA", at positions 30 to 523 of the family's 1533-position model. The record is from RNAcentral.
AUUGAACGCUGGCGGAAUGCUUUACACAUGCAAGUCGAACGGCAGCACGGACUUCGGUCUGGUGGCGAGUGGCGAACGGGUGAGUAAUACAUCGGAACGUGCCCAGUCGUGGGGGAUAACGUAGCGAAAGCUACGCUAAUACCGCAUACGAUCUAAGGAUGAAAGCGGGGGAUCGCAAGACCUCGCGCGAUUGGAGCGGCCGAUGGCAGAUUAGGUAGUUGGUAGGGUAAAGGCCUACCAAGCCGACGAUCUGUAGCUGGUCUGAGAGGACGACCAGCCACACUGGGACUGAGACACGGCCCAGACUCCUACGGGAGGCAGCAGUGGGGAAUUUUGGACAAUGGACGCAAGUCUGAUCCAGCCAUUCCGCGUGCAGGAUGAAGGCCCUCGGGUUGUAAACUGCUUUUGUACAGAACGAAAAGGCUCUGGUUAAUACCUGGAGCUCAUGACGGUACUGUAAGAAUAAGCACCGGCUAACUACGUGCCAGCCGCCGCAGUAA